ACAGAUGAUGAACCACCUCUUCCCGGUGUGCAGGACUGAAGGGCAGAACAGAAACAGCACGCUGAGUGAGUGAGCGCCUUUCCAGGCCAGUGUGACCCCCAUCACCUGCACCAGACUUGCCACAGUGGGUCUGUGAACUCCUUUACACCUAUGGGAUUUUCUCCAGGAAGGGUGUGGGCAGAGAACACUGUUCCCAGUCAUUAAUCCCCAACGCUUCCCUCCACGAAGCAGGUGGUUCCCCAGGCUCCUUGGUAAAGAGGCCCUGGUGAUGGGCUUCUGCCUGCUCUUCCCUCACACCAGAGGGCAAGGGGUGCACAGCAGAACCUGGGGUGCCUCACUGGCAGCCCCCGAAGCUCCCGAGAGGACCCCUCGCGUAGGCUUGGUUCCUGGGAUGCCCAAGGCACCAUCCAUGAAGGCCGUGAUGCCGGUUGCAGGUGACAGCUCCUCGGACAGGGCAGCUGUCCCCAGACUGGGGCCCCUGGUCACCACAUGCUUCCAUAAUCCCCCCAAGCAAUGGCCAAACCCCUGGUAAUAUGCUGAGUGGGGACUUUCAUCAAACGCCUGCUUAAAAGCAGGGAGGGAAGUUGCAGACUCACCGUUCUGCUGAUACACGGGGGCGUUGGCUUGGGAUUGUCGGCUCUCCUGAAUGAGGUGGAGGGUCAGAAAUGAGCCCACUGAGCUGCAGCGCCCACCUGCCCAGCCACUGCACUCUCACCACCUCCCACCCCGGAUUUCACAACCUCACCUCCCCGGUGCCCAGGCCGCAGGUGCUGAGGUGUGGCGGGCUGGUCCCUGGGUCGGAGCCACGGUCGGCGUCUGUGUCCUCGCUGAGCAUGUCCUCUGCCUUGUCCAUGACAUCCUUCAUCUGCUCGAUGAACGUUUCCCGCUCGGCCUGCAGGAUAAAGUCAUGCUCCACCUGCAAAGGGACAUACUGCCAGUGAGGACCAGCUGCAAGGCCAAGACCACCCUAGGUCUUCAUCUGGAUUGACGGAUGUCUACCCUGUACCAGGCCCCAAGGGAAGAAUGGUGAAAGGGUGCAGUCCCCAAGACAGGGGCUGGACAGCUCAGCAAGUGACAUGGAUGGCCCCAGGAUGGGAGGAGAGCAGCCUCAUCUUGAGAAGCAACUCCCUCCUCCAAGCAUGGGACCUGGGCCAGCAAUGCCCUGCCCCAGCUGGAGCUGGUUACAGACCCUGAGGCCGGUCCAGCCAUCUUCAGAACAGUUUCAGUGGCCCAGUGAGGACCUGGUGUUUGUGCUGCGCUGACGAACCAGCUGCUUGCUGCUGACAAAGACUCCUCCCUGACCAAAGCGCAGCUCACGCCUCUGACCCUCCAACUAGGCUUGACUAGGCCCCAUCAUGUCUUCAGCCUAAGCCAGUUGUAGAAAGAAUUCCCAGCCUUUGUAUCUGACCAUAUUCCUCAUCUCCCACCUUUGAGGUUGAACAAAGCCUCUCACCCACCCCCAGCAAGGAUCCUGUUACGAGGGUUUCUCCAGAAUCCCUGACCUUGAUGUCUCCUCUUAGCUAUUUUCCAGCCACCCAUCACCACACUGCUCCUCUGCUACCAAUCCCCUGUGGUCUCUGCUGCAUUUGGAGUUAAACUCAUUCUCUCUCGCUUAUUGCCACAGUCCUGAAUAAAGUCUUCCCGACCACUGUA
Homo sapiens (human) is the source of this 1653-nucleotide long non-coding RNA. RefSeq lists it as uncharacterized. The record is from RefSeq and is a predicted model, not a curated record. The transcript is spliced from 2 exons. Lineage: Eukaryota; Metazoa; Chordata; Mammalia; Primates; Hominidae.